This 302-nucleotide unclassified non-coding RNA is filed under the name uncultured Pleosporales. RNAcentral describes it as "sequence contains ITS1". The stretch from base 1 to 105 matches the Rfam family "5.8S ribosomal RNA", at positions 50 to 154 of the family's 154-position model. Lineage: Eukaryota; Fungi; Ascomycota; Dothideomycetes; Pleosporales. RNAcentral also lists the same sequence under 2 other names. The record is from RNAcentral.
GAAAUGCGAUAAGUAGUGUGAAUUGCAGAAUUCAGUGAAUCAUCGAAUCUUUGAACGCACAUUGCGCCCCUUGGUAUUCCAUGGGGCAUGCCUGUUCGAGCGUCAUUUGUACCCUCAAGCUCUGCUUGGUGUUGGGUGUUUGUCCACUCCCUGGUGUUUGGACUCGCCUUAAAGCAAUUGGCAGCCAGUGUUUUGGUAUUGAAGCGCAGCACAUUUUGCGAUUCUAGCCUGAAAUACUAGCAUCCAGCAAGUCAUUUUUCACUUUUGACCUCGGAUCAGGUAGGGAUACCCGCUGAACUUAA